This 253-nucleotide ribosomal RNA is filed under the name uncultured bacterium. Its description in RNAcentral is "partial 16S ribosomal RNA". It matches the Rfam family "Bacterial small subunit ribosomal RNA", at positions 524 to 776 of the family's 1533-position model. The record is from RNAcentral.
UACGGGGGGGGCAAGCGUUGUUCGGAAUUACUGGGCGUAAAGGGCUCGUAGGCGGCCAACUAAGUCGGAUGUGAAAUCCCCAGGCUCAACCUGGGAACUGCAUCCGAUACUGGAUGGCUUGAAUUCGGGAGAGGGAUGCAGAAUUCCAGGUGUAGCGGUGAAAUGCGUAGAUAUCUGGAGGAAUACCGGUGGCGAAGGCGGCAUCCUGGACCGACAUUGACGCUGAGGCGCGAAAGCUAGGGGAGCAAACGGG